GGGAGCGGAUUGUGCCUGGUGGUGCGCCCGGACUUCAAAUCCGGCGAGAGGCAUGACGAGUGUCUCUGGUGGGUUCGAUUCCCACACGCUCCCGCCA
This 97-nucleotide transfer RNA is filed under the name Syntrophomonadaceae bacterium. RNAcentral's name for it is "tRNA-Sec". It matches the Rfam family "Selenocysteine transfer RNA". The record is from RNAcentral. Lineage: Bacteria; Bacillati; Bacillota; Clostridia; Eubacteriales; Syntrophomonadaceae. RNAcentral also lists the same sequence under 1 other name.